This 245-nucleotide long non-coding RNA is filed under the name Nicotiana benthamiana. Its description in RNAcentral is "long non-coding RNA (NBEN_LNC029974)". The record is from RNAcentral. Lineage: Eukaryota; Viridiplantae; Streptophyta; Magnoliopsida; Solanales; Solanaceae.
UGAGCUUACGCUUACUCUCAGCCUCUUUGAUUGGUAGGCGGGCGGGCUAAGCCCCCUACUUAAGAUUCAAUUCAUAAGGCUAAUUUUAUGUUGUCGUGAGGCUUUGGUUAGGCCGACUACUAUAGGCUAGCUACUUCUAGCUUCUAUACUGGCCCUUCCACUUUGGUGUAGUUUUUGUUUGUAUUGGUACUGAAUGAACAUAUCAAACAAAGGCGAGCAGUAUAAGCCCUUCUCCGGCCUGGGAU